RNAcentral lists this ribosomal RNA (246 nucleotides) under uncultured bacterium. RNAcentral's name for it is "partial 16S ribosomal RNA". It matches the Rfam family "Bacterial small subunit ribosomal RNA", at positions 524 to 775 of the family's 1533-position model. The record is from RNAcentral.
UACGAAGGGUGCAAGCGUUACUCGGAAUUACUGGGCGUAAAGCGUGCGUAGGUGGUUUGUUAAGUCUGUUGUGAAAGCCCGGCUCAACCUGGGAAUGGCAAUGGAUACUGGCAGGCUAGAGUGCGGUAGAGGUAGUGGAAUUCCCGGUGUAGCGGUGAAAUGCGUAGAGAUCGGAGGAACACCAGUGGCGAAGGCGGCUACCUGGACCAGCACUGACACUGAGGCACGAAGCGUGGGAGCAAACAG